GGCCCCGUAGUUCAAUUGGAUAGAAUGACAGAUUCCGGUUCUGUUGGUUGGGGGUUCGAAUCCCUCCGGGGUCA
RNAcentral lists this transfer RNA (74 nucleotides) under Flavobacteriales bacterium. RNAcentral describes it as "tRNA-Arg". It matches the Rfam family "tRNA". Rfam says of the family: Transfer RNA (tRNA) molecules are approximately 80 nucleotides in length. Their secondary structure includes four short double-helical elements and three loops (D, anti-codon, and T loops). Lineage: Bacteria; Pseudomonadati; Bacteroidota; Flavobacteriia; Flavobacteriales. The record is from RNAcentral.